CAAAGCCCUGUCAGGAGUUAUGAAAUGUAAGUGCGCUAAUACCGUGCUUAUUUGACAAAGGCUCCAAAGGAAGCCACGGCUAACUCUGUGCCAGCAGCCGCGGUAAUACAGAGGUGGCGAGCGUUGUUCGGAAUUAUUGGGCGUAAAGAGCACGUAGGUGGGUUUGCAAGUCAGAUGUGAAAGCCUUCUGUUCAACGGAAGAAUUGCAUCUGAGACUGCUAAUCUUGAGUAUAGGAGGGGAGAAUGGAACUUCUGGUGGAGCGGUGAAAUGCGUAGAUAUCAGAAGGAACGCCGGCGGCGAAAGCGAUUCUCUGGCCUAUUACUGACACUCAGUGUGCGAAAGCUAGGGGAGCAAACGGGAUUAGAUACCCCGGUAGUCCUAGCUGUAAACGAUGGGCACUAAGUAGAGGGGAUUACCUAUAUACUCUCUGCCGUAGCUAACGCAUUAAGUGCCCCGCCUGGGGAGUACGGCCGCAAGGCUAAAACUCAAAAGAAUUGACGGGGGCUCGCACAAGCGGUGGAGCAUGUGGCUUAAUUCGAUGCAACGCGAAAAACCUUACCGGGGCUUGACAUGAUAGAAGUAGGAACCUGAAAGGGGGACGAACGGUAUCCAGUCCGUAGCUAUUACAGGUGUUGCAUGGCUGUCGUCAGCUCGUGUCGUGAGACGUUGGGNUAAGUCCCCUAACGAGCGAAACCCUUGUUUUUA
This 706-nucleotide ribosomal RNA is filed under the name uncultured Planctomycetota bacterium. Its description in RNAcentral is "bacterial SSU rRNA". It matches the Rfam family "Bacterial small subunit ribosomal RNA", at positions 426 to 1113 of the family's 1533-position model. Lineage: Bacteria; Pseudomonadati; Planctomycetota. The record is from RNAcentral.